Molecule: ribosomal RNA, 678 nt
Filed under: uncultured bacterium
Lineage: Bacteria
Description: bacterial SSU rRNA
Rfam family: Bacterial small subunit ribosomal RNA
Source: RNAcentral
UGAUCAGCCACACUGGAACUGAGACACGGUCCAGACUCCUACGGGAGGCAGCAGUAAGGAAUAUUGCUCAAUGGCCGAAAGGCUGAAGCAGCAACGCCGCGUGGAGGAUGAAAUACUUUUGUAUGUAAACUCCUGUAAGAAGGGAAAAAUAUUCCGAUUUAUCGGGAUUGAUUGUACCUUCAGAGUAAGCCCCGGCUAACUACGUGCCAGCAGCCGCGGUAAUACGUAGGGGGCAAGCGUUGUCCGGAUUUACUGGGUGUAAAGGGUGCUCAGGUGGACUUUUAAGUCAGAGGUGAAAUCCCAAAGCUUAACUUUGGAGCUGCCUUUGAUACUGAAAGUCUAGAGUUUGAGAGAGGGCAAUGGAAUAUCUGGUGUAGCAGUGAAAUGCGUAGAUAUCAGAUAGAACACCAAUGGCGAAGGCAGUUGCCUGGCUCAAAACUGACGCUAAAGCACGAAAGUGUGGGGAGCAAACAGGAUUAGAUACCCUGGUAGUCCACACCCUAAACGAUGAAUACUAGAUGUUGGUCUUUUUUAAAGUCAGUAUCCAAGCUAACGCAUUAAGUAUUCCACCUGGGAAGUACAAUCGCAAGGUUGAAACUCAAAGGAACUGACGGGGGCCCGCACAAGCAGUGGAGCAUGUGGUUUAAUUCGACGCAACGCGAAGAACCUUACCUAGGC